UCCGAGUUGUCCCCGGCAGUCCCCUUAGAGUCCCCGGCUUUACCCGCUGGCAACUAAGGGCAGGGGUUGCGCUCGUUGCGGCACUUAAGCCAACACCUCACGACACGAGCUGACGACAGCCAUGCACCACCUGUGAAAGUGUCCCGAAGGAAGACCGUGUUUCCACGGCUGUCACUUACAUGUCAAGCCCAGGUAAGGUUCUUCGCGUUGCGUCGAAUUAAACCACACGCUCCGCUGCUUGUGCGGGCCCCCGUCAAUUCCUUUGAGUUUUAGCCUUGCGACCGUACUUCCCAGGCGGCACAUUUAACGCGUUAGCUUCGCCACAAAAGGGGUCGAUUCCUUUUACAGCAAAUGUGCACCGUUUACAGCUAGGACUAC
RNAcentral lists this unclassified non-coding RNA (378 nucleotides) under uncultured bacterium. Its description in RNAcentral is "contains 16S-23S intergenic spacer region". The record is from RNAcentral.